RNAcentral lists this small nuclear RNA (266 nucleotides) under Erinaceus europaeus (western European hedgehog). RNAcentral describes it as "7SK RNA". It matches the Rfam family "7SK RNA", at positions 1 to 285 of the family's 331-position model. Rfam says of the family: 7SK was discovered as an abundant small nuclear RNA in the mid-70s but a possible function has only recently been suggested. The record is from Rfam by way of RNAcentral. Lineage: Eukaryota; Metazoa; Chordata; Mammalia; Eulipotyphla; Erinaceidae.
GGAUGUAAGGGCGAUCUGGUGGAGACAUCUGUCACCCCAUUGAUCGCCAGGGUUGAUUCAGCUGAUUUGGCUGGCUAGACGGGUGUCCCCUUCCUCCCUCACCACUCCAUAUGCGUCCUUCCCGAAACUACGUGCUUGGUCUAAGAGGAUGGCCUUCCCCAAAUAGAGAUUCGGUCGAGGGUAUAGGAGUAGCUGCACUACCCUGCUAGAACCUCCAAACAAGCUCUUAAGAAUAAGGAGAAGGAGAAGGAGAAGGAGAAGGAGAA